UGGGGAAUUUUGGACAAUGGGCGCAAGCCUGAUCCAGCCAUGCCGCGUGUCUGAAGAAGGCCUUCGGGUUGUAAAGGACUUUUGUCAGGGAAGAAAAGGGCGGGGUUAAUACCCCUGUCUGAUGACGGUACCUGAAGAAUAAGCACCGGCUAACUACGUGCCAGCAGCCGCGGUAAUACGUAGGGUGCGAGCGUUAAUCGGAAUUACUGGGCGUAAAGCGGGCGCAGACGGGUACUUAAGCAGGAUGUGAAAUCCCCGGGCUCAACCUGGGAACUGCGUUCUGAACUGGGUGACUAGAGUGUGUCAGAGGGAGGUAGAAUUCCACGUGUAGCAGUGAAAUGCGUAGAGAUGUGGAGGAAUACCGAUGGCGAAGGCAGCCUCCUGGGAUAACACUGACGUUCAUGCCCGAAAGCGUGGGUAGCAAACA
This 427-nucleotide ribosomal RNA is filed under the name uncultured bacterium. RNAcentral's name for it is "partial 16S ribosomal RNA". It matches the Rfam family "Bacterial small subunit ribosomal RNA", at positions 355 to 774 of the family's 1533-position model. The record is from RNAcentral.